This 253-nucleotide ribosomal RNA is filed under the name uncultured bacterium. RNAcentral describes it as "partial 16S ribosomal RNA". It matches the Rfam family "Bacterial small subunit ribosomal RNA", at positions 524 to 776 of the family's 1533-position model. The record is from RNAcentral.
UACGAAGGGGACUAGCGUUGUUCGGAAUCACUGGGCGUAAAGAGCACGUAGGCGGAUUUGUAAGUCAGGGGUGAAAUCCCGGGGCUCAACCUCGGAACUGCCUUUGAUACUGCGAAUCUUGAGUCCGAUAGAGGUGGGUGGAAUUCCUAGUGUAGAGGUGAAAUUCGUAGAUAUUAGGAAGAACACCGGUUGCGAAGGCGGCCCACUGGAUCGGUACUGACGCUGAGGUGCGAAAGCGUGGGGAGCAAACAGG